GGAGGAGGCGGGAGGCGGUGACGGCUGACCCUCCUGGGAGCUGCGGGGAGCGGUUUCUGUCUGGACAGUCGGCCGUCCACUGCCAUCGGAAGAAGCCAGAGAGGAACGGGGGUCCCUCGGGUGCCCUGCUUAUGCCGAGUGGGUGCACGGUAUUUUCUGAAUGGGACUGUUGUGCUUCACCAAGGCAUUCCAGGUGUGACCAGGGCCCUUCCGGGGUCUUCUCUGUGGACCUACGGAGGCCGAGUUAUCCAGUCUGCCCAUGGCUGUCCCAGUCUUCCAGCUUCUUGUGUCUGAUGUCCGAGAAUCCAGUCGGCAGCCUGACCUAGAUCAAAAUCCUGUCUGCAACCCUGUCCGGGCCGCCACUCAGGCACCGUGCCCCACCUCAGUGAGGAGGCUGAGAUGUAACCUGCGAAGAACUGAGGAACAGCGAGGAUGUAGAGACUCAUCAGCAGUGGCUGGUGUUAUAAAUUUCUCCUCCCGGUGCUAGAUGGUAGAGAGCAAAGGAGUGCAGGACCUACAACAGAGAGUACCGAGAUUUCUCUGAGGACUCCCUGGACCAGGAAGUCUUUACUUGGUAGAACACCUCAUCUUGGAAACUGCCUCAGGUGUUCUCUGAACCUGUUUUCCAAAGCAACUCUACAACCAGCUCUCCACCUGGGCACUACUGUUGAUUCUUGGGGUCACCCUUCUGAUAAUACUUACAUGUGACACUGAACCCUUAGCCUUCCAGCCUUCCAUGACAAGGAUGGAAAAUGAAUGGAACUGUAAAAAUAUGCCAUGAUAUUCCUCUACACAAGCAAUCAUCACAGGUAUUUAUUUACCUUUACAAAAUAUUCAUAAAGUCCCUCUACAGUAGUCCAUUUAUAGGAAAUGCUAAAAAUGAGAGAAAAGAUGAAAGAAAAAGAAUGAAUGAAAUAAACUCAAGUUUACCACAAGUCAGUGACAUUUAAUUCCUGGGAAGCUAGCUAUCUUUGAAUGCUUUCCUGGUUCUUUAAGCUUUUAUCUACUAUUAAAAAAUUGACCUGUGUUGGUUGCUGUAUGUCAUUUGUAGAGAACUGUGGAAGCUAAUUAAAAACAAAACCAAAAGCCACAGAUGUAAUUAUUAUAUAAUGAGAGGAUAACAUUAGCUGAUGCUAUUACAAAUACCGAAAGUGAAUUUUAAUUAGAACCCAGAUGGUAACUAAAAAAUUAUAUAUAAAGAAAUUUCACUUUUACUACCACUUUGCAAAAUAAUUAUACAUCACAAGUAUUGCUCAGGUACUGUGUUAGUCAGCAUUUUGUCACUGUGACAAAAUACCUGAGUUUAUAUUGGCUGCUGGUUUCAGAGAUUUCAGGCCAUGGUCAUCUGGCUGUGUUGCCUUUGGACCUGUGGUAGUGCAGUGCCUUGAAAUGGGAGUACAUGAGAGAGAUGUUUUGCUCACUUCAUGGUGGCCAGGAAGCAAAAGAGCGAAAAGGGACUGGGGUCCCAAUAUCAAGUUCAAAUGCACAUUCCCAGUGACCUCACUUCCUUCUCCUAUGCUCCACCUCUUGAGCUUUCACCUCCCCCCAGAAGUGCCAUAGGAUGGUGACCAAGCCUUUCACACAUGUGCCCUGUGGGACACCCUAGACCCAAACUGUAGCAGGUAUAAACCAGGUUCCCUGGGAAUGAUGACUGUUCUUGAUCUUAGCCUGUGCAACACAAAUAAAUAAGCAUGCAUACCUUAUCAAGACCAGUUUGAGGAAUCUGAUACUGCAGGCAUGCAAGAUUUAGCACCAUUUGGAACAUGCAGUCAUCUAGCACCAAAA
Molecule: long non-coding RNA, 1785 nt
Organism: Heterocephalus glaber (naked mole-rat)
Lineage: Eukaryota; Metazoa; Chordata; Mammalia; Rodentia; Bathyergidae
Source: RefSeq, a predicted model, not a curated record